AGUAAUUGUUCAAGAGCAAGGCUCACCAAGCUCAUUUGAGGACUGGAGGAGCAGCAGCCUGUUAUCCCUCCACUGUCAAGAGCCGGAGGUGGUCGCUGCUCUGUGAAACCAGCCUCACGCGGUACCCUCCUGUCUAGAAACCAGGAAACCAACGCCUUCGCAAAGAUCCCAUGGCUCAGCUCCUGACUUGGAGUGGGCAGGCCAGCAAGUUGCAGCCUCCAGACUAGCUUAGCAAGCCAUAGCCUUGUUCAAUCACCUCAAUGCCCCCACUCAGGUCACAAGCUGACGUUACCCAGCUCGGCGAACUGACAUGUUUGUCAGAAGAUUUAUAAAGACUAGUUUGUCUAAUAUUCUUAACAACAUGGGACUUCCAAAUGGCAAUAUCAAGUUCGUAGAGUCUUGAGUUGGAAACUGAGGCUUUUUCUUUCCCGUCUAUUUUCUCCAUGGUUCCAUGGAGUAGGCUUGGCCAAGAUCCAGUCCCAGUAUAUUUGGAUUGCAUUUUCUUACUAGAUGAAUCUGCAACUCAGUUGGGGGAUGUUGUCCAAGACGCUAAGAGCUGAUUAGAGGAGAUGGAACUGAAACUUUGGGAGAAAUCACAACAGUUAAAAUCAGAAAUGAGUUGAAGGACAAAUUCCAGCCUUACCCCCAAACCUCAAACAAAAUGUUUCGCAUGAAAGUUGAACCGAUCAUGGUUGGGAUCCCUCACUGGCACCAUCAUUUGAAACAUGAAGCUUUCACUUUCUAAUAUUCCCAUCAGAUAUGAGGAUAGUGACAGGUAAUAGAAAAUUUUGGAAUGUUUUGUGAUGGAAAUUAGAUCUCUCAGCCUUUUAUACCCUUUUAUUGCCUGGUAUUUUCCUUUGUAGCAAUCAGGGCGAUCGUUUGCAGCUGGAGUUAUGCUGGAUAAACU
Non-coding RNA from Vigna umbellata (rice bean), 907 nucleotides. Lineage: Eukaryota; Viridiplantae; Streptophyta; Magnoliopsida; Fabales; Fabaceae. The record is from RefSeq and is a predicted model, not a curated record.